CUGCAGAGAAGCUUGCUUCUCUGAUGUUAGCGGCGGACGGGUGAGUAACACGUGGGUAACCUACCUAUAAGACUGGGAUAACUCCGGGAAACCGGGGCUAAUACCGGAUAAUAUUUUGAACCGCAUGGUUCAAUAGUGAAAGACGGUUUCGGCUGUCACUUAUAGAUGGACCCGCGCCGUAUUAGCUAGUUGGUAAGGUAACGGCUUACCAAGGCGACGAUACGUAGCCGACCUGAGAGGGUGAUCGGCCACACUGGAACUGAGACACGGUCCAGACUCCUACGGGAGGCAGCAGUAGGGAAUCUUCCGG
RNAcentral lists this ribosomal RNA (310 nucleotides) under Mammaliicoccus sciuri. RNAcentral describes it as "bacterial SSU rRNA". It matches the Rfam family "Bacterial small subunit ribosomal RNA", at positions 67 to 369 of the family's 1533-position model. Lineage: Bacteria; Bacillati; Bacillota; Bacilli; Caryophanales; Staphylococcaceae. The record is from RNAcentral.